GACAGAGGGUGCAAACGUUGCUCGGAAUUACUGGGCGUAAAGCGCGUGUAGGCGGACUGGUGUGUCGGAUGUGAAAUCCCCAGGCUCAACCUGGGAACUGCAUUCGAAACUGCCAGCCUUGAGUGGUGGAGAGGGAAGUGGAAUUCCUGGUGUAGAGGUGAAAUGCGUAGAUAUCGGGAGGAACACCAGUGGCGAAGGCGACUACCUGGCCUGUUCUUGACGCUGAGGCGCGAAAGCGUGGGGAGCAAACAGGG
This 254-nucleotide ribosomal RNA is filed under the name uncultured bacterium. RNAcentral's name for it is "partial 16S ribosomal RNA". It matches the Rfam family "Bacterial small subunit ribosomal RNA", at positions 524 to 777 of the family's 1533-position model. The record is from RNAcentral.